Long non-coding RNA from Oncorhynchus tshawytscha (Chinook salmon), 547 nucleotides. The record is from Ensembl. Lineage: Eukaryota; Metazoa; Chordata; Actinopteri; Salmoniformes; Salmonidae.
GAUUUAAUGAAAGUUUGAAUUUCAUAGUAUUUUAUUUGAAUCUGGUGCUCUGCAUUUUCUCUGGCAAUUGGCCAAGUGGGACAUUUGCGUCUCCCUAGCCCAGAGAGGAUAAGAGAGGGAUGGAGGUAGAGAGAUGGAGGGAAGAGAGGGAUGGAGGUAGAGAGAUGGAGGGAAGAGAGGGAUGGAGGUAGAGAGAUGGAGGGAAGAGAGGGAUGGAGGUAGAGAGAUGGAGGGAAGAGGGAGAUGGAGGUAGAGAGAUGGAGGGAAGAGAGAGAUGGAGGGAAAAGAGGGAUGGAGGUAGAGAGAUGGAGGUGGAGAGAUGGAGGGAAGAGGGAGAUGGAGGUAGAGAGAUGGAGGGAAGAGAGGUAUGGAGGGAAAAGAGGGAUGGAGGUAGAGAGAUGGAGGUAGAGAGAUGGAGGGAAGAGAGGUAUGGAGGUAGAGAGAUGGAGGGAAGAGAGGUAUGGAGGUAGAGAGAUGGAGGGAAGAGAGGUAUGGAGGUAGAGAGAUGGAGGUAGAGAGAUGGGGAGAAGAGAGGGAUGGAGGUAGA